UACGGAGGGUGCGAGCGUUGUCCGGAAUUAUUGGGCGUAAAGAGCUCGUAGGCGGUUUGUCACGUCUGCUGUGAAAUCCCGAGGCUCAACCUCGGGCCUGCAGUGGGUACGGGCAGACUGGAGUGCGGUAGGGGAGAAUGGAAUUCCUGGUGUAGCGGUGGAAUGCGCAGAUAUCAGGAGGAACACCGAUGGCGAAGGCAGUUCUCUGGGCCGUAACUGACGCUGAGGAGCGAAAGCGUGGGGAGCGAACAGG
This 253-nucleotide ribosomal RNA is filed under the name uncultured bacterium. RNAcentral's name for it is "partial 16S ribosomal RNA". It matches the Rfam family "Bacterial small subunit ribosomal RNA", at positions 524 to 776 of the family's 1533-position model. The record is from RNAcentral.